RNAcentral lists this unclassified non-coding RNA (629 nucleotides) under Zea mays. Its description in RNAcentral is "misc RNA Zm00001eb083150". Lineage: Eukaryota; Viridiplantae; Streptophyta; Magnoliopsida; Poales; Poaceae. The record is from RNAcentral.
CACCAAACUAAAACAGAAAUUCCAAUCAUUUACGACUACUGCACACUUAAAUCCAAGUAUGAAAGAUGACGCAUGCAUCCAGAAAUGAAACCAAAGCAAGAACACCACUGCACGGAUGGCCACUCCAUGGAAGCUAGAAGUGGUUGACCCUCCUGCAGUUGUGCCUGAUCUCGCCGGCGCUCCCGGUGAGCGGCGAGAUGUUGCCCAUCUUGACCAUGGACUUGGCGAAGUGGUCGAAGAAGAGGCCCUGGUCGGCGGCGUAGCGGUGGACGAGGUCCAUGGUCUCGCGGCUCUGCGUGAGCAGGAUCUCGUCGGAGCUGAGCAGCCCGUUCAUGGCCAGGAUGUUGUGGUAGUACUGGUUGUCGAACCGGAACUGGGUCACCAGGUCCAGCGCGAACAGGUUCUGGUCGCCGCCCGACCGCGGGCACCGGCCCCGCAGCUCCGCCGCGUACGCCGGGUUCAGCGUCCGGUCCACCUGCCCGUUGUUGUUCUGGCCGUACAGCCGCUGCCGGAAGCUCACGCACCGCGAGUCGCCGAUGGUGUGCCCCCCUGCGUUCAGUUGUUCGUUGCAGUUGGAAGGAUAUGUAUACUAUCGCAGUAUACUCCUAAAUGUGAUGGAGUGCAAUGCA